AUUGAACGCUGGCGGCAUGCCUUACACAUGGCAAGUCGAACGGCAGCGCGGGAGCAAUCCUGGUGGCGAGUGGCGAACGGGUGAGUAAUAUAUCGGAACGUGCCCAGUCGUGGGGGAUAACGUAGCGAAAGCUACGCUAAUACCGCAUACGAUCUAUGGAUGAAANCGGGGGAUCGCAAGACCUCGCGCGAUUGGAGCGGCCGAUAUCAGAUUAGGUAGUUGGUGAGGUAAAGGCUCACCAAGCCGACGAUCUGUAGCUGGUCUGAGAGGACGACCAGCCACACUGGGACUGAGACACGGCCCCAGACUCCUACGGGAGGCAGCAGUGGGAAUAUUGGACAAUGGGCGAAAGCCUGAUCCAGCCAUGCCGCGUGCAGGAAUAAGGUCCUAUGGAUUGUAAACUGCUUUUAUACAGGAAGAAACACACCCUCGUGAGGGUACUUGACGGUACUGUAUGAAUAAGGACCGGCUAACUCCGUG
Molecule: ribosomal RNA, 480 nt
Filed under: uncultured bacterium
Lineage: Bacteria
Description: bacterial SSU rRNA
Rfam family: Bacterial small subunit ribosomal RNA
Source: RNAcentral